This 1300-nucleotide non-coding RNA is filed under the name Enterocytozoon bieneusi H348. RNAcentral's name for it is "Eukaryotic large subunit ribosomal RNA". It matches the Rfam family "Eukaryotic large subunit ribosomal RNA", at positions 42 to 1888 of the family's 3401-position model. Lineage: Eukaryota; Fungi; Microsporidia; Enterocytozoonidae. The record is from Rfam by way of RNAcentral.
UUUUUUUGGGGGGGGAAAAAAAACACCCCGGGGUUUCCUUUAAGGGGGGGAAAAAAACCCGGAGGGGUUCCAAGGGAAAACCCAAAGGGGGGGUAAAAAUAGCCUUCCGAAAACCUUUUGGAAAGGAGGCCCCCAGGGGGGGAAAUUUCCCGGGGGGGGGGUUAAGAAAAAGGUUUGUCCGCUUUGGAUUCCCAUUUGAAGGGGAGGUGGAAAUUUUUAAAGGUAAAUACAGACGGAUUCCGAAUAGAGAAGGAAGUAGUGCGAACGAAAGUUGAAAAGAUUUCAUCUAGAGAAUUGAAAAGUGAAAGUAUUAGGGCGUAAGCUGAUGACAUCAGACCCGUAUUGAAACACGGACCAAGGAGACUUUGAGUAUAGCGAGGCGAAGGAUGUGAAGUCCCCACCCGCGAGAAAUCUACAAGUUAUACUGAUAGGACCCGAAAGGCAGUGAACUAUACCUGCUCUGCUUGACGCCACGGCAAACCGUGGUUGAGGAGCUAAGUCGUAUUGAUGUUCAACUCAUUGACAGGAAGUGGGUAUAGGGGCGAAAGACCAAUCGAACUGCCUGGUAGCUGGUUCCGGCCGAAAUGUCUCUCAGGACAGCGGUGUCUGCGAAUAGGAAGAUGCGGUAGAGAGGAUGUCGACCUUGUCAACAAACUCCGAAUGCGUCAUUGUGUUGCGAUUGCAUCCAACAUGAUCAUCUAUAAGACACUAGUGGGCGCCUUGUGGUAAGCAUGCGGCGCAAAAAGGGAUGAACCUAGCAGUGGGGUAAGGUGCCUAAAGGAAAACAAAGAGAAAAAGCGUUUGGCAGAUUAGGACAGUGGGGCGGUGGCCAUGGAGGUCGGCAUCCGCUAAGAAACGUGUUACAACGUACCCACCGAAUCUGCGAAUGCUGAAAAUGGAUGGCGCUUAUUUCCAUACCGAGCCCCACAUGGUACAGCCACGUAGGCCGGCACGUGUGCAUCUGAGAAGACCCGCCGUGAGGUGUGUUGGAGAUGUUCACGGAGCAGAUCUUGGAAGUAGUAGCAUCAUUUGUAUGUGCCAAUGGAGGCGGGUUUGUCCUUUUAAUAGAAGGAAGUGAUACGAGCCUAGUAAAAGGGAAUAUAGUAGAUAUUCUAUAUAGAUGUACCUAUGUGGCGACACGACAGCGACCCCAACGACGUGUGCCGGUGAGAAUUUUCCGGGACACCCAGAUCUUAUGAGCGUCACGCUGAGACUAAGAACGAGUUGGGCGGUGAAAAUGAAGGAACAUCCUCGUACCGAACCGCAACAGGACUCCUAGGUGAGAAGCCUAAGGCAUAAU